CAAGUCCCUGGUAGGUUCGUCCUUGCUCUGAGGGAAGAGUGUGGGCCACAGGCCAUGGGGACACUCUGAGGAUGUGGGUGCUGCCCAUCUUGAAGUUUCUCCCCACCCCUCUCCGGAGCUGCUACCAUUGUCCUUUGCCCUCGGAGUGCUCUCCUCCCACCCCCGCCGCCUCUUGUUCUCUUUCUCCCUUGAGCCGUUAGAAUGGCAGGGAGCCCAGCCAGGGCCUGGACGGCGGCCUCAGCUCCCUGUUCUCAAUAAUUGUGUGUGUGUGCAUGUGUGCAUGUGUACGUGUGAGUGCCUGUGUGUGUGCAUUGUGUGUAGGGGCUGGGGCUGGAGUCGACAACAGAUCAGAGCACAGGAGUAGAGCGCUUCUGGGAGGGUGGGGCCACCCGUGAGUCACGUCCUGCACCCUGGAGCCCAGAGGACCCUUCGCUCAAACCCACCACCAGCUGGCAACACCGGACCAGACCAGCCGGAGCCGCUUUCUUCGCUGCGCAGAGGAGCCUGGGAGAAGCCAGAGGUGUAAGUCAAGCUGUGGAGGGACUGGGUGUGGCUGAGCCCCGUGACAAGUGGGAGGAGCCAGGGAUGCUUGGGAGGGGAGGCACUGUGCGCGAGAGAGGAGGGAAAGGGGAAGCGUUCGUGCCUCUCUGCCCCCUGUCCCCCUCUUGCUGCAUAGUAGCCACAUCCAUGUCUCUUGUACCCUGCAAUCUGGAGGCCACUGCCAGAAGCUGGAAAUCUCAAGUAGAGCAGCAAAAGGCAUCUUCCUGGAGACAGGAAGGUAGGCACUGUGGAAUCAGCGGUGCGUAGAACAGUGAGGAUUUGGGGCUGAACCCAGCCCAGGUGGGCCAAGCCGUGGCACCAGCCGGACUGCAGUCUGAUGGAACUUCCCCUUCCUGCCCAGCAGAUGGCGAGCGUGUGCUGCUGGUGCCUCUUUCCAAAGGACGUUGAAUUGCUUGACAGCCCUGCCCAGCAUCUAGAAGACCACCUGAAGCUUUCACACUUUGAGACCUUAGAUCCUGCGAGGGUUUGAAUUUCAAAAGCUUCAAUUAAAGCACACAGUGUUCUUUACUUUAUGAAUGAAGCCAGAGCAGCCCACCUUCCUGCAUCUCUACCACCAUGGCACCAUGCCCUGUGAUGGGUGGGCUGGAGUCAAAUAUGUAGCAGGCAGCCAGGGUCAGUUUGUGGCCACUGCUGCCCCCUCUUCCUACAGUCUCCUCACUGAGUGCCCCUUCCCUGUUGGGUUCAACACAUCUGUGCUCCUGUAAGCCCUCAGCCUCCUCGUUCUCUUCCUCAACUUCUACCACCAGACACAUCUGAGAAGCAAGCAAGAGAGGCUGAACUAGGAGCAGGACCCAGGGACUGAAACCAGCACAGCAUCCCCACAGAGAAUUGGGUGGAAGGCAGCAUGGCUUCCAGCUUACUGGUGCUGAGCAGAUUGCUCUGGGUCUCCAUUGUAUCCUCUGAAGGAAGGAGGAGGAUUGCCUUCUGUCCAGAUCUCAGGAUCAAACAAAUAGGUCCAAUUUCCUGUGCUCACUUCAGUUAGAGCACUUCUCAUGUGACUUUGUAGCUUUGUGUGCAUCUCCUUCCUCUACUAGACCUAAGCCCCUCACGGGAGGGACUCUCUUAUUCUUGAUGUUCCCCACACCUGGAAUUUCAAUAAACAUCUCAAUAAACGUGUGUGUUUGGAUCCUUGGAUCCCAUGACUGCCGUCAUAACCUUGGUGAAGAAGAGGGCUGGGAGUAGGAAAGAGGUCAAGGUUCGCUUGAUCUCUAACCCUAUAGUGGGAAAUUGUGACGGAGAAUAUUCAAGAGUGGGUGUGGGUCUGUUUGAUUUCAGGUGUAGCUGUGUAAAUAGUUAGCCCUGCAUAUAUUUUUGUCUACUCACAACUGCCUGCAUGUGUAUUCAUAGAGUUGUGUGAUUCUGUGUAUGUGCCUGGGGAGUGGGAGAGGGCCAUGUGCACAUGUCUGAAUACUUGUUUUCAAAUAUACAUGCAUGUUUCCAUUUGGGUUUCUCUCCAUUUGUGUUGUUUGCCUGCCUCUUCUGUAAGUCUCUGAAAGUGCCACAUUGGCAAAUAAAAGCCACUGGGAUCAAUAAUUCUCCUGUUCUGAUGGGAGACAUGGAAGCCCACUGAGAAAUCUCCGAAUACAUGUUCCACUAAGAGCUUCCAAAAAUAAAUGGGAAAAAAGGAGAAAUGGGGCACACCCAUCUUCUUCACAGAGAGGGAAACUGAGGACCAGCAAAGGGGAAUAUAUGACUGAGAUACUAUGGCAGAAGCAAAUAUUGGCUGAGCUGUUCAAACCCAGAAUAGGAUGGGUUUCUUGAAAGCAGUUUGCCUGGGAGCUGUCUCUAUGUCUCCAGUAUGAUGACUUUUCUCCUUUAUAAUUGCCCUUCGGCUGUUUUUCAUCUCUAGGUAAGUUCUUAUUUUGCCAUGCCUCAAUAGUCAAGAAAAUUAAAGAAUUGCUGAAGGUUAUGCAGUGCUAUUUGGGGACUGUGUCUCCAUCUGGCCUUUUAGUUAAUCAACCCAAGGCCAGGCAAGGCUACAUCCUGUGGACAGAAUACUCAGAGAAAAUUCC
This 2573-nucleotide long non-coding RNA is filed under the name Homo sapiens (human). Its description in RNAcentral is "HSALNT0184600". Lineage: Eukaryota; Metazoa; Chordata; Mammalia; Primates; Hominidae. The record is from RNAcentral.